RNAcentral lists this ribosomal RNA (253 nucleotides) under uncultured bacterium. RNAcentral describes it as "partial 16S ribosomal RNA". It matches the Rfam family "Bacterial small subunit ribosomal RNA", at positions 524 to 776 of the family's 1533-position model. The record is from RNAcentral.
UACGUAGGGGGCGAGCGUUGUCCGGAAUCAUUGGGCGUAAAGCGCGCGCAGGCGGCUCGGAGAGCCCGGCGUGAAAGCCCCCGGCUCAACCGGGGGAGGCCGUCGGGGACCUUCGGGCUGGAGGCCGGCAGGGGGGAGUGGAAUUCCCGGUGUAGUGGUGGAAUGCGUAGAGAUCGGUAGGAACACCGGUGGCGAAGGCGGCUCCCUGGGCCGGUCCUGACGCUGAGGCGCGAAAGCGUGGGGAGCAAACAGG